GGGGAAUAUUGCACAAUGGGCGCAAGCCUGAUGCAGCAACGCCGCGUGAGUGAAGAAGGCCUUCGGGUCGUAAAGCUCUGUCCUUUGGGACGAAGAAAGUGACGGUACCAGAGGAGGAAGCCCCGGCUAACUACGUGCCAGCAGCCGCGGUAAUACGUAGGGGGCAAGCGUUAUCCGGAAUCACUGGGCGUAAAGGGUGCGUAGGCGGUUUUUCAAGUCAGAAGUGAAAGGCAGUGGCUUAACCAUUGUAAGCUUUUGAAACUGAAGAACUUGAGUGCAGGAGAGGUAAGUGGAAUUCCUAGUGCAGCGGUGAAAUGCGUAGAUAUUAGGAGGAACACCAGUGGCGAAGGCGACUUACUGGACUGUAACUGACGCUGAGGCACGAAAGCGUGGGGAGCGAAC
This 402-nucleotide ribosomal RNA is filed under the name uncultured bacterium. Its description in RNAcentral is "bacterial SSU rRNA". It matches the Rfam family "Bacterial small subunit ribosomal RNA", at positions 356 to 773 of the family's 1533-position model. The record is from RNAcentral.